Molecule: long non-coding RNA, 1862 nt
Organism: Pogona vitticeps (central bearded dragon)
Lineage: Eukaryota; Metazoa; Chordata; Lepidosauria; Squamata; Agamidae
Source: Ensembl
AAUUUCUGUUAUCUGUAAAGCAGGGGAGAACAAUAUCUGUGGCUGUGUAUAUUGCACCCUCCUGAACCAAUUGGAUGCUGUUCACCUACCUUUAAGACAUAUGUGGGAGCCUGACAUGUUCUUAGGCUGGAUCAUAUCUUCAGGAAGUUUCCAGGAGCACGAUUCAGCUUGAAGACAAAAUGUGUGCUCUCUUCCCUGAGUGUCUUGUUUUAGAGAGAAGUCAUUCUUCCCUUGCUGCUAAGGCAGCGAUAAGUACAGCAGCUGUCAGAGCACCAGCAGGGAGGUAGGCAACACUUUCAAAAAUGCUAGGAAUAUAAAGAUAUCAUUGAUCGUGACAAAAUCCUCUGCGAGUUUGUUCACCUGUGUUCAUAACAUUGUCUAGCCAACAGUGAGGACCACAAGCAGUGCAGCUGCUUCUCUGAUGAAUCACUAUUAAACAAAGUUUGUGUUUCACUCCAUAUUUAACUACAGGAGCUGUUACUGAAGUAUUGCUGCUAGUCUAUGGUUAGAGUUGCCAACUCUGAUCUCUUUCCUGCCAACAGAAAGAAGACAGUGGCCAAAAUAACACUCACUACAGGCUUCUUGCAUAUAGUUGCGUAUCAUCCAGUUCAUGAUUUCCACGCCCAUUCUACAAAGAUGAAAACCAGUUUUAGCCAAGUAUACGAGUAUACGAACCAUCGUAUGUGAUGGCUUUUCAGUGGUGACUGGUCCCAUACAGUCCAAGCAUUCCCUUCUUUCUUCUUCUCUCCUUUUCCAAACCGGAUGAACAGCACGCUGAUGAUGUUCACUGAGAGGGAGAGACAAGAAGCUUUUUCUUACAUUGCCUUCUCCUCAAGUCUUCAUCCAGGUGUCGUUAGCUGAGAAACCAUCACCAGAUAACAGAAACACAUUGGACUAUCCUCCCCAUGCUCACCACCAUGUCAUCCCAGUAUUUGAGGCUCCUCCUGUCCAUUAGCAACUCGCGCUAACAUUUCUUCACAUCUUCUUUGGUGGUUGUGGAGAUAGCAAGCAACUGCUUCUUAUCAACUAGACAAAAGUCCCUACAUUGAAGUAACCAGUGAUGUGACAAUAGCUGGGUGAGCUGGCUUCCCCAUUAAAUUCAAGGGAGAUGGGAAUUCCUUGUAGGCAGAUGGUCUUAUUUCAUGUGCAGAACUACCCUUCUUGAGGAUGAAAUUCUCUUGUGUGGAGGAUUCACAUCACCUUGCAGGAAAUUAAUAGAGGCAGGCCUGAUACCUUAAAAGGACAUCAAGCAAAAAAGAUACUUUCACUGUCUUCAGGACUGAACCCUGAUUCAAUUCAGUUAUAGCUGAAACAGAUUUUCUUAGUCUUUCCCUAUUGUACUUUCUCACUGAAUUAUAAACAUCCUGCAUAUUGAGACAUGUUCAAUAACAAUUCAAAUAGAAAUGAACACAGAGAAUUCCAGGAAUGUCUGCCAGGAUGGAUAUUCAGAUCCUGUGCCCUGAAUGUUAAGCAGAUUGAUAUAUGAAUUUCUAGAUGAAAGACUUUGCUGAGGAUCUUAGAAAUAUAAAUAGCAGGAAAAGAAAGACUUGAGUUAAUCCAAUUUCCAGUAGAGAUAAAAGGUACCACAGGGGUUGAAAGACUAGUUUCCAUCAAAUUUGUUGUUCCAAUCAUUCUUUAACUUGUUCUAGUAAAAGAGCACUUAAGCUGAUCCCUGGAGAAAUAGACUUUUGAAGACAACUGGUUUUUCACAGCUUGCUUGUACACUUCUUAUUUCAGAAUCAACACGAGAAGGAAAAUAUUGUAUAUAUUCUGUUUCAUAUGCUCUGGAGGGAUUUUCAACUUUUUUGCUAUAAAGCUCAAACAUAAAUAAAGUGCUAACAAAGAGUAGUAGAUGGUUUAUG